AUACAUGCAGUCGAGCGAACGGACGAGAAGCUUGCUUCUCUGAUGUUAGCGGCGGACGGGUGAGUAACACGUGGAUAACCUACCUAUAAGACUGGGAUAACUUCGGGAAACCGGAGCUAAUACCGGAUAAUAUUUUGAACCGCAUGGUUCAAAAGUGAAAGACGGUCUUGCUGUCACUUAUAGAUGGAUCCGCGCUGCAUUAGCUAGUUGGUAAGGUAACGGCUUACCAAGGCAACGAUGCAUAGCCGACCUGAGAGGGUGAUCGGCCACACUGGAACUGAGACACGGUCCAGACUCCUACGGGAGGCAGCAGUAGGGAAUCUUCCGCAAUGGGCGAAAGCCUGACGGAGCAACGCCGCGUGAGUGAUGAAGGUCUUCGGAUCGUAAAACUCUGUUAUUAGGGAAGAACAUAUGUGUAAGUAACUGUGCACAUCUUGACGGUACCUAAUCAGAAAGCCACGGCUAACUACGUGCCAGCAGCCGCGGUAAUACGUAGGUGGCAAGCGUUAUCCGGAAUUAUUGGGCGUAAAGCGCGCGUAGGCGGUUUUUUAAGUCUGAUGUGAAAGCCCACGGCUCAACCGUGGAGGGUCAUUGGAAACUGGAAAACUUGAGUGCAGAAGAGGAAAGUGGAAUUCCAUGUGUAGCGGUGAAAUGCGCAGAGAUAUGGAGGAACACCAGUGGCGAAGGCGACUUUCUGGUCUGUAACUGACGCUGAUGUGCGAAAGCGUGGGGAUCAAACAGGAUUAGAUACCCUGGUAGUCCACGCCGUAAACGAUGAGUGCUAAGUGUUAGGGGGUUUCCGCCCCUUAGUGCUGCAGCUAACGCAUUAAGCACUCCGCCUGGGGAGUACGACCGCAAGGUUGAAACUCAAAGGAAUUGACGGGGACCCGCACAAGCGGUGGAGCAUGUGGUUUAAUUCGAAGCAACGCGAAGAACCUUACCAAAUCUUGACAUCCUUUGACAACUCUAGAGAUAGAGCCUUCCCCUUCGGGGGACAAAGUGACAGGUGGUGCAUGGUUGUCGUCAGCUCGUGUCGUGAGAUGUUGGGUUAAGUCCCGCAACGAGCGCAACCCUUAAGCUUAGUUGCCAUCAUUAAGUUGGGCACUCUAAGUUGACUGCCGGUGACAAACCGGAGGAAGGUGGGGAUGACGUCAAAUCAUCAUGCCCCUUAUGAUUUGGGCUACACACGUGCUACAAUGGACAAUACAAAGGGCAGCGAAACCGCGAGGUCAAGCAAAUCCCAUAAAGUUGUUCUCAGUUCGGAUUGUAGUCUGCAACUCGACUACAUGAAGCUGGAAUCGCUAGUAAUCGUAGAUCAGCAUGCUACGGUGAAUACGUUCCCGGGUCUUGUACACACCGCCCGUCACACCACGAGAGUUUGUAACACCCGAAGCCGGUGGAGUAACCUUUUAGGAGCUAGCCGU
RNAcentral lists this ribosomal RNA (1424 nucleotides) under Staphylococcus aureus. RNAcentral describes it as "bacterial SSU rRNA". It matches the Rfam family "Bacterial small subunit ribosomal RNA". The record is from RNAcentral. Lineage: Bacteria; Bacillati; Bacillota; Bacilli; Caryophanales; Staphylococcaceae.